AUUGAACGCUGGCGGCAGGCCUAACACAUGCAAGUCGAGCGAGCGGCGGACGGGUGAGUAAGGAAUGGGGAGUGCGAGAUAGAGGGGGGUAACAACAGGAAACGGGUGCUAAUAACGCAUACUAUCGGAUAACCCAUAUGGGAUUAGCUAGGAGGUGGGGUAAAGGCAAACCCAGGCGCAGAUCUCUAGCUGGUCUGAGAGGAUGAUCAGGCACACUGGGACUGAGACACGGCCCCGACUCCUACGGAGUCAGCAGUGGGGAAUAUUGUACAAUGGGCGCAAGCCUGAUACAGCCAUGCCGCGUGUAUUAAGAAGGCCUUAGGGUUGUAAAGUACUUUCAGCGGGGAGGCGUUACCCGCAGAAUAAGCACCGGCUAACUCCGUGCCAGCCGCCGCGGUAAUUA
RNAcentral lists this ribosomal RNA (403 nucleotides) under uncultured bacterium. Its description in RNAcentral is "partial 16S ribosomal RNA". It matches the Rfam family "Bacterial small subunit ribosomal RNA", at positions 30 to 525 of the family's 1533-position model. The record is from RNAcentral.